RNAcentral lists this long non-coding RNA (5451 nucleotides) under Sus scrofa (pig). RNAcentral's name for it is "lncRNA (ENSSSCG00015037011.1)". The record is from RNAcentral. Lineage: Eukaryota; Metazoa; Chordata; Mammalia; Artiodactyla; Suidae.
AGCUUCACAGGGUGGAAAUACAGAGAGAAAGGACUGGCUCUCUUCCUCUUCUUAUAAGGUGCUAAUUGCAUCAUUAGGUUUCCACUUUCAAGCCCUGAUUAUCUUCCAGAGGCCUCUCUUCCAAAUACACCAGAGUAGAGAUUCAAUAUAUGAAUUCAGGGGGGUACGCACAUAGCAGGUCAAGGGUAAAAAUGAUUCUUGGGAACAAAUAAUCUUUAUGUGUAAAACACAUAUAUACAUACAAUAUAGAAACAUAUGCAGUGUGUAUGUUGUGUUAAAAUGUAAUGGGUGGCAAUUUAAUAUCUCUAAAGAGGCUCCUUAAGGGUUAGUCAUUUUUUUAAAGUUGAAGAAGUUCUGCCAUUGGUAUUAUUUUUCUUAUUAAAUAGAUGUAAACACGUAGGUUGGGAGGGAGGUUAAAUAAUGUGCCCAAGAACAGCAAAUGCUUAUUAGUUGGGAGAGCCUUGACUCAGGUGCUGGUCUCUGUGGUCCAGGGCAUGUGCUUUGAUGCUACAGGCUGCCUCUUUGAGGCUUGCUCUGAGGGUGAGGAAACCACUCUCGGACCAUCCACCUUUUUCCAGGUACUUACCUGCUUCUCUUUCUCUCAAAUUCUUCUGUGCUGGCCUGGGAGCUUCUAAAUUGCUGUUUUGCCCACUAGGAUCUGAGAUCCCACCUCCUCAUUCCAUUGUGAGCCAGAACAUUCUCCUGGAGAAAUUUUGGCUCCUGGCUUGGAAGCAUGGGUAUUUGCAGUUUUAAUAUCAUGCUGAGAAAUUACCCAAAAUUACUGGCUCUUUCCCAGUGGGGUUUCAGAGUCUCUUCCAGGCCAUUGGGAAGUUGGGAAGCCUGGGCUUUGCUGAUCCACACAAUCCUAACAGAAAUGCCUGUUUCUGACCAAAGUCUGGUAUGCAGUGUCCCUUCCUCUGACCCUCUUACUGGAAUCUCCUGCUGUUAUUUUAUAAACUAGGCUCUACACCUGAGUUUUUCUGUGAGGCAGUUCCAGGAACAUUCAAUCUUUGAAACACAUUUAAUAGUUAACUGAGGCAGCCACGAGAAAGUUUGCAGUCGCUUCAAAAGGUUGUUGCUUUGGAAGAAUUGAAUAGACAGUCUCAGCUUUUUAACCAGGGUUUCCAAGAUCAAUUUAUCAGGAAUGAGUGGAUUUUCUUUCUCAUCUUCCCAGAGGGCCCAAGGAAAAUGAGGAAUACACAUGAUAAUAGCAAAUCAAUCAAAUUUACAUUUAAACACUUCCUUCACUAGAGCACCCUGGAGGGGCCUGCUUAGAUACUCAGAUGCUCACAGCUUACUCCUCCCUGCUUCAAAUAUAGCCCCCCCCCCCUCAGGUCAGACCUGGGAAGGGUAGGCUUCAGCUUCUCCAGAGACUCCAGUGCUUCAACCUGAGGUAUCAGGGCCUGACUUGGGCACUCUCUGCAGAGGCAGGUGCCAAGAGACAGUCCCUCAGCAGGUGGUCUCUGACUCUCCAGAGAAAACAAGAACUGCUCAGAGCCAUUGUUCAAAGGAAGAAAAUGGGUACCCCCUCUAUUUUCAGUGCCCAAACUCACACAGAUGGGUAAGUACUUUGCUUGCUUUGGAUGCCUAUGAAAAUCAGGGUUAUUUUCUUAGAACCGGAAGUAGAUAGGUCUCUCUCUUUUGAUAGAAUAACAAACUCCCAUGCCUCUGCUCCCCAGCUUUAAAAUAGAGAUCCUAAGAAUACCCACCUAUAUUAGUUUUCAGGGGCUGCUCUACUAAAAUACCUCCAACUAGGUGACUUAAGCAAUAGACAUUUAUGGUGUCACAGUUCUGGAGGCUUGACAUCUUAGAUCAAGGUGUUUGGCAGGUGGUUCCUUCUGAGGUCUUUUGGAGGUUUAGUGGCAAUCUUUGGCAUUUCUGAUCCCUGCCUUUAUCUUCACAUGGUUUUAUCCCCUAGGGCAUGUCUCCAUCUAACUCUCCCCUUUUUAUAAGAACACAUGCCAUAUUGGAUUAGGGGCCCAUUCUACUCUGUAUAUCCUCAUCUCAACCUCAUCUCCAAUAUGAAGUCAUCUGCAAUGGCCCUAUUUACAAAUCAGGUCAUAAUCUUAGGUACUAGUGUUUAGAAUUUUAACAUGAAUUUGGGGAGGGACACAGUUUAACCUGUAACACUACCUCGUAGGGUACUGUGUGGAUUAAAUGACUGGUGUAUAAAGUGUUGUAUGAGGGUUUGCUUUAAUUAUUACUGGUAAGUAGACAUGUGAAGGAAUUACAAUGUAAAUAAUUAUUAUUACUACCCGAGGCCCUACUAUGUGUCGGGGACUAUAUUGUUAUACUUCUUUCUAUUCCUUAUAGAAAUUUUCAAAGUACAUUCUUUAUCUCCAGCACUCCCAGUUUAUAAAUGGAUAAACUGAAGCUUAGGGAGGGGAAGUGAUUUUGAUGUGGCUGAAGACUUCCAACUUGUUUGAUGGUAAACAAGGCUGUAAUUUCAAACUGAUUGUGCAAUACGUUUGUUUUAUUUAUUAUUAUUAUUUUUUGCUUUUUAGGGCCCCUGCAGCAUAUGGAAGUUCCCAGGCUAGGGGUCAAAUUGGAGCUGCAGCUUCCCACCUAUGCCACAGGCACAGCCUGGGAUUCGAACCAUGUCUGCGACCUGUGCCGCAGCUGACGGUAAUGCUGGAUCCUUAUCCCCCGCUGAGUGAGGCCAGCGAUCAAACCUGAAUCCUCAUGGAUACUAGUCAGGUUUGCAACCUGUUGAGCCACAAUGGGAACUCCUGCAACACUUUAAAUAAUGAAAGAAUAUUUCAAAAAUUUGUAACUUGUUACUUGCUUUCUAUGUAAAUGUGAUUUUUCAUGUAAUGUAUUACAUUUGCAUAAUCAAGGUUCUGCCACAAUUUUCUAGAUAGGAAGGUCAGCCAUGUCAUAAAAACUGUUAAUUAAACAGACAUAAAACAGUCAUUUUGAUCUUGUCAAUAACUUUUUAAAAAUAGUGAUGGUUUCCCAAUUUAGUUAACAUUCAGUGAACAGGGUCUCUGAUACCAUGCUAGGAAUCACUAGACCAACAGAACCUGUUUUCUGCCUUUGGCGAGCUUGUGGUUGGAUUCCUGAGUAUACUGAAGGGAUGGGCCAUUGGCUAGCCUUGGACUUGGCUAGGCUGAGUGCACUGGGGCUGGAACACGGUGAGGAAGAGUCAAGUGGUAUCUGGGGGGGAGGGUGUAGAGGGGCAUGUGGAGUCAGUGAAUUACUUCGAAUAUUCUUAUUUUCAAAAUGUUAGGAGAGGUGAGGGCCCAUUUCAGCUGCACCUUUAGGUUCAUGGAAGAGGCCAGUCAACAAAGCUUAAAGGUUUUGAGAUGUGCUUACUUAUCUCAACGCUUGCUUGAUUUUCUAGAAAUAUGAUAGAAGUUAAACGGUUUUAUAGGAUUAGAAUUUAUCGGAGAAACAGUAUAAGUAGAAAAAGUAAAACACGUUUUCUUCUCUUAGGACCAAGUCUCAUGGUUAUCAGAUUAGAAUGAAUAGAAGUUAUUUAGAGGGCACUUAACACCCAGUCACCCACCAGGACUCCUGACAAAAAUGAAUGUUUCUGGAUAUGGGAAUGCUGGGUUUCGUGCCACAUGCAAAAAAUGAAUAUGGCAUGGCCCUUGCUUUAGAAGAGUGCAUAGUCUAGUUGGAGAAGAUAGAUAACUCCAGACCGUCUUCCUCACUUGUCUGAAUAUGAAGUACUUCCUGCUCUUGGAUGAAUUAUGUUGAUGCUGAUUAACGAUAAUGGAAUAAUAUUACUUUGCAUCUGUAGGAUGCUUUUAACUUUUCAAAGUGCUUUCUCAUACGAUUUUUCCUGCCAGACUGUCGGACAAACACGGAGAUAGAUGAGGGCUGAGCUAAGACCAGGACUGGCAUGGGACUUCCAGGAGCCUGGCUGCCACUCUUCUGAGGAGAAUGGCCUUUCCUUGCCAUUCCUUCUACCCUUCCUCUCCAUUUCCCACACUGUGCUGUCAUUGUUCUGGUCUUCUUGCUGUUGCCUUGGAGUUUUCCACAUAUCAUGCUGCGCUCUUUGGAGCAAAAAGCUAUUACAGAAAUCUAAUAAAUAAUAAAUUUCAGUGCUCAGACAGAUCAAUAAAAUGCAUGAUAAGAAGAGGCUAUUAUGGCGAAUGAAAAAUGCACUAGAGAAUGCCCACAGCAUGAGUCAACCUUCAGCUGGGAGAAGCUGAGUCUCUUAAAACACCAAAGACCAAGUAGACCAUCUUGGGGCAUUUUGAAGCAUUUGUUUCUAGUUCAUUUACAGAAGUUUGUUGAAGAUCUAUCUCCUGCCAGGCUUGGUGCUGGGUGCUGGAUGUGCAAAAACAUUCUGUAUCCAGGAACUCAACAAUUUAGCCAAGGAGAAGGGCGAUGCAGCCAUAGCUAAUUGUAAUGCAAUGCCAUUGCCUCUGUAGACAAUAAACAAAGCUCUCUGGAGGAAUCAGAAGGGGAAAAAUACAACUAUGCAGAGUACAGGGCAGAGAGGCUUUCAUAAAAGUUAUGACUUUGGAUUUCAACUGGAAAGGAUGGAUGGCAUUUUUUGUGGUGAAAAAGUAGAAAUAAUUGUGCGACAGAAUAUUUGCUAAGGGCAGGAAAUAGCAUCAGCACAAGUACUGGACUGUAUACAUACUGACACAUCUAGGGAUGUUUUUGGUCCAUUCUUUUUAUCAAAGCAUUUAGUCUUUCUCAAUCCGGGGCAGUGUAGAUAACCAGCCUUCUCUUCCUAUCUUCCCUGCUCCAGUAUUCUGGAUUUUUGCUGUUUAUGAAACUAUAAGGCCCAGCAAGCAAGAAAUAAGUAUAGGAGCAAGGAGACUUGGUCUCAAGAGUGUUGGCAGAGCUGUCCUGGGUCACAGGCUAUUUCCUGAGGUUCUCAGAUUGGGCCAGUAGAAGGCAGAAUCUGAAGGAAAUUGUCCAGCCUUAUUAUCACCGGGGUCACAUGGAGAGAACAUAGAAGGGGCAUUUGCCUCAAUGAUGCUCUUUUUUUCUAACUUCCCAGUUACUAGAUAUGUGAUCCAAGGCAGGAUUCUUGAACUUGAUCUAUCAGUAACCCUAAUCUUCCAUAGCGGAGGAAGAGAGGAUGUGAAGACACGAGUCUUGAAUUCUCCUAGAAGCAAAGUCGUCUCCAGUCACAACUUUGUUAUGAAAUCUGAUGCAGGGCUGAGAUGACAUGUGAAAAAGGCCCUGUGCUAAUAGAAGUUUCUCUUAUCAACACCUUAGUCUUUUUCUUCCGGAUUCUCUCUCUCUCUUUUUUUUAAUCUUCCUAUGCUUUGUUCCCACCUUUCAGACACAAGUUUUUAUCCUUUGUCUCAUUGCGCUUUAUCCCUAUUGAGGUGGCCAUUGAUAAAUUAAUUCUGGGGGAAAAUUAUGUAUACUUUGAAGUCACAAGUGGGUUUAGAUGAACUAUUACUUGCUUAGCUACAUGACCUUUGGAAAGUUAUUGGGUCUUAGUUUCCUUGAAUCUGCAUGGUAAAAAAAAAAAAAAAA